Molecule: ribosomal RNA, 447 nt
Filed under: uncultured bacterium
Lineage: Bacteria
Description: bacterial SSU rRNA
Rfam family: Bacterial small subunit ribosomal RNA
Source: RNAcentral
CCAGACUCCUACGGGAGGCAGCAGUGGGGAAUAUUGGGCAAUGGGCGCAAGCCUGACCCAGCAACGCCGCGUGAAGGAAGAAGGCCCUCGGGUUGUAAACUUCUUUUAUUCGGGACGAAGCAAAUGACGGUACCGAAUGAAUAAGCCACGGCUAACUACGUGCCAGCAGCCGCGGUAAUACGCAGGUGGCAAGCGUUAUCCGGAUUUACUGGGUGUAAAGGGCGUGUAGGCGGGAGAGCAAGUCAGACGUGAAAUUCCGGGGCUCAACCCUGGAACUGCGUUUGAAACUGUUGGUCUUGAGUGUCGAAGAGGCAGGCGGAAUUACUAGUGUAGCGGUGAAAUGCGUAGAUAUUAGGAGGAACACCAGUGGCGAAGGCGGUCUGCUGGACAGCAACUGACGGUGAGGCGCGAAAGCGUGGGGAGCAAACAGGAUUAGAUACCCUUGUA